This 224-nucleotide ribosomal RNA is filed under the name Paramycodrosophila n. sp. POG-2002. Its description in RNAcentral is "partial 28S ribosomal RNA". Lineage: Eukaryota; Metazoa; Arthropoda; Insecta; Diptera; Drosophilidae. The record is from RNAcentral.
ACGUCAGAACUGUUUCGGUCUUCCAUCAGGGUUUCCCCUGACUUCAACCUGAUCAAGUAUAGUUCACCAUCUUUCGGGUCACAGCAUAUAUGCUCAAGGUACGUUCCAGUUAGAGGCAUAAAUAAUAUAAAUACUAUUAUACAUAACUAUAUAGAACGCCCCGGGAUUGUGUUAAUUAACUAUAAAUAGUUAAAAAACUAAUCCCAUUAACGGUCAAGUUAAUU